This 388-nucleotide ribosomal RNA is filed under the name uncultured bacterium. Its description in RNAcentral is "bacterial SSU rRNA". It matches the Rfam family "Bacterial small subunit ribosomal RNA", at positions 104 to 509 of the family's 1533-position model. The record is from RNAcentral.
GGGUGAGUAACGCGUGAGCAACCUGUCCCUUACAGGGGAUAACACAGCGAAAGUUGUACUAAUACCGCAUGAGACCACGGGGAGACAUCUUCCAGGGGUCAAAGGAGCAAUCCGGUAAGGGUGGGCUCGCGUCCGAUUAGAUAGUUGGUGAGGUAACGGCCCACCAAGUCGACGAUCGGUAGCCGACCUGAGAGGGUGAUCGGCCACAUUGGGACUGAGACACGGCCCAAACUCCUACGGGAGGCAGCAGUGGGGAAUAUUGGGCAAUGGGGGAACCCUGACCCAGCAACGCCGCGUGAGGGAAGAAGGUCUUCGGAUUGUAAAGCUCUGUCCUUGGGGACGAAGAAGUGACGGUACCCAAGGAGGAAGCCCCGGCUAACUACGUGCC